AUUGAACGCUGGCGGCAGGCCUAACACAUGCAAGUCGAGCGAGCGGCGGACGGGUGAGUAAGGUAUGGGGAUCUGCCCGAGAGAGGGGGAUAACUACUGGGAACGGUGGCUAAUACCGCAUAAUAGCGGAUAAACCCAUUUGGGUUUAGCUUGUAGGUGGGGGAAAGGCACACCAAGGGCACGAGCUCUAGCUGGUCUGAGAGGAUGAUCAGCCACACUGGAACUGAGACACGGCCCAGACUCCUACGGGAGGACGCAGUGGGGAAUAUUGGACAAUGGGCGCAAGCCUGAUGCAGCCAUGCCGCGUGUAUGAAGAAGGCCUUCGGUUUGUAAAGUACUUUAAGCGGGGAGGCGUUACCAGCAGAAGAAGCACCGGCUAACUCCGUGCCAGCAGCCGCGGUAAUUC
This 406-nucleotide ribosomal RNA is filed under the name uncultured bacterium. RNAcentral's name for it is "partial 16S ribosomal RNA". It matches the Rfam family "Bacterial small subunit ribosomal RNA", at positions 30 to 526 of the family's 1533-position model. The record is from RNAcentral.